Molecule: ribosomal RNA, 253 nt
Filed under: uncultured bacterium
Lineage: Bacteria
Description: partial 16S ribosomal RNA
Rfam family: Bacterial small subunit ribosomal RNA
Source: RNAcentral
UACAGAGGUGGCAAGCGUUGUUCGGAAUUACUGGGCGUAAAGCGUGCGCAGGCGGUUUUGUAAGCCAGAUGUGAAAUCCCCGGGCUCAACCUGGGAAUGGCAUUUGGGACUGCAAGGCUGGAGUUUGGCAGAGGAGACUGGAAUUCCUGGUGUAGCAGUGAAAUGCGUAGAUAUCAGGAGGAAUACCGAUGGCGAAGGCAGGUCUCUGGGCUAUAACUGACGCUCAUGCACGAAAGCGUGGGGAGCAAACAGG